CUUCUCUUAUCCUUCCAGCCGCCGCACCUCACGCGCGAGUCCGAAGGCGCAACGCGCACUACACACACCGCCUAGGUGCCCCUUCCCCGGCGUCUUUGUGAUGCUCGACGCCACCGCCCGACCCUCUGCCGCGGCAGGCAGCCGAUGCCUUUCCCCCAAGCGCUGCCUCGGCGCCCCUCUCCUGGUCUCGGUAGGAUUCUUGAUUGUGCCUCCAUCAUCUCUGUGAACGGCCGUCGCUAUUGUGCGUUCCUCUCGUGGUUAAAAUAAUUGUACAUCUUCUCUGCCUAUUUGGUAUGUAAGUAGUGUGUUUUCCUCUUCUGGUUGAUAUGCAAGUAAUGCGUGCCCAUUGGAAGUUAAUGUCAUAUAGGAAAGAGGGAAGCACCACAAUGAACUGCAGCCGAGUUCGAGGAAUAAUUGUUCUUAUAAUGCAAUUUGGGCUCUGUUAAUUGGUGAAUUCUAUUUUAGAAGUCCACUUUUAUAGGGAAAAAGGGUGCUGUUCAAAGAAUUAGGUAGCUUGCCUGAAUUCUUCUUGUGGGAGUUGUGCAGAAUCCAGGACAAUUUGUCUCCCCAUAACCACUUUGGUGUCCUGUUAUGGAACAAGUUAUACAUCACUCUGCUGGCUUAGUAAAUAGAAAACCCCGACAAGACCCUCUUUAUGGUAUCUCUAAUUCAAAUCCACGCUCAAGAAGGAAUACAGGUAGAGCUACUGUUGACUUCCUCUAUAUAUGUGUAUUGCAGGAACAUUAGUACUGUUUAAAUUUUGUUCUGUUAACGAAAAUAGUUCAAACUAUGUGUAUGGGAUGUCCCAACAGUGCAAAGAUGUGUAUGACCUGUGUAUAUCUCUAGAUAUCUCUUCGAGUUCGAUUACAAAACAUGCUGAUGUACUAAAGUGCUAUGGGCGUUUUUGAAAGUGGUUUAUGGAAGAAAAUAAUUUCAAUGGAAGUAUGCUAUAUUUGUGUACAAGUUUUAGAGUGGUUGGGCUUUUUUAGAACCGUUCGUUGAUGUCGAUCUAACGGCAGACAAAUACGAAGUACUGGGUAGUACUUCGAUGAAAGUACGCGAAAGUACUAAAACGAGUGGGGCCGGUACUCGUGACAAGGUGGGGACGCGUUUUAAUCUAGGGGCAGUUUAGUCCUAGGAAAAUUUGCACGCGCCGCCCCUCUCGUCAAAUGAAUAACCGCCGCCAUGGUGCUACACAUUCCACAAUUACUCAUCGGCGGCCAUCUCCUCCCUCUCCUCCAUGUCCACCGCAGUCAUCUCCUCCUUCUUGCCGCUGCAACU
Molecule: long non-coding RNA, 1281 nt
Organism: Triticum aestivum (bread wheat)
Lineage: Eukaryota; Viridiplantae; Streptophyta; Magnoliopsida; Poales; Poaceae
Exons: 3
Source: RefSeq, a predicted model, not a curated record